This 116-nucleotide ribosomal RNA is filed under the name Salvinia sp. F008p5S1. Lineage: Eukaryota; Viridiplantae; Streptophyta; Polypodiopsida; Salviniales; Salviniaceae. The record is from RNAcentral.
UGGUGCGGUCACACCAGCGUUAGUAUACCGAAUCCCAUUAGAACUCCAAAGUAAGCACGAUUGGGCAUAAUAGUAUUGGGAUGGGUGACCUCCCGGGAAGUCCUGGCUGCACCCUU